UUGCCCUAGUAACGGCGAGUGAAGCGGCAACAGCUCAAAUUUGAAAUCUGGCGUCUUUGGCGUCCGAGUUGUAAUUUGCAGAGGGCGCUUUGGCGUUGGCAGCGGUCCAAGUUCCUUGGAACAGGACGUCACAGAGGGUGAGAAUCCCGUACGUGGUCGCUGGCCUUCGCCGUGUAAAGCCCCUUCGACGAGUCGAGUUGUUUGGGAAUGCAGCUCUAAAUGGGAGGUAAAUUUCUUCUAAAGCUAAAUACUGGCCAGAGACCGAUAGCGCACAAGUAGAGUGAUCGAAAGAUGAAAAGCACUUUGGAAAGAGAGUCAAACAGCACGUGAAAUUGUUAAAAGGGAAGCGCUUGCAACCAGACUUGCCUGCAGUUGCUCAUCUGGACUUUUGUCCAGUGCAUUCUUCUGUAGGCAGGCCAGCAUCAGUUUGGGCGGUUAGAUAAAGGUCUCUGUCAUGUACCUCUCUUCGGGGAGAACUUAUAGGGGAGACGACAUGUAACCAGCCUGGACUGAGGUCCGCGCAUUUGCUAGGAUGCUGGCGUAAUGGUUGUAAGCGGCCCGUCUUGAAACACGGACCAAGGAGUCUAACAUCUAUGCGAGUGUUUGGGUGUCAAGCCCGAGCGCGCAAUGAAAGUGAACGGAGGUGGGAACCCGCAAGGGUGCACCAUCGACCGAUCCUGAUGUCUUCGGAUGGAUUUGAGUAAGAGCAUAGCUGUUGGGACCCGAAAGAUGGUGAACUAUGCUUGAAUAGGGUGAAGCCAGAGGAAACUCUGGUGGAGGCUCGCAGCGGUUCUGACGUGCAAAUC
Molecule: ribosomal RNA, 806 nt
Filed under: Neoascochyta paspali
Lineage: Eukaryota; Fungi; Ascomycota; Dothideomycetes; Pleosporales; Didymellaceae
Description: eukaryotic LSU rRNA
Rfam family: Eukaryotic large subunit ribosomal RNA
Source: RNAcentral